This is a small nuclear RNA of 108 nucleotides. Its record names the gene U5. It matches the Rfam family "U5 spliceosomal RNA". From Rfam's summary of the family: U5 RNA is a component of both types of known spliceosome. The precise function of this molecule is unknown, though it is known that the 5' loop is required for splice site selection and p220 binding, and that both the 3' stem-loop and the Sm site are important for Sm protein binding and cap methylation. The record is from Ensembl.
UAGCUUGGGCUUCUGUUCACAAAUCUUUCACCAUUUACCAAAGACUUCCGUGGAGAGGGGCGUCAACAAGCUCUCAAUAUUUUUGGGAGCUCUGUUUUGACCUAAAUU